CAGAAAAUAGUUUAAGCAGAAUCUUAGCUUUGGGAGUUAAGGGCAGGGGUUAAAGUCCCCUUUUUCUGA
Molecule: transfer RNA, 69 nt
Filed under: Parambassis ranga (Indian glassy fish)
Lineage: Eukaryota; Metazoa; Chordata; Actinopteri; Ambassidae
Also listed under: 1 other name
Description: tRNA-Pro
Rfam family: tRNA
About the family: Transfer RNA (tRNA) molecules are approximately 80 nucleotides in length.
Source: RNAcentral